GGUUCGAUAACAUAAUGGUAAUGUUUUGGAUUGCAAAUCCUGAAAUGGCAGUUCAAAUCUGCCUCGGACCU
This 71-nucleotide transfer RNA is filed under the name Monomastix sp. OKE-1. Its description in RNAcentral is "tRNA-Cys". It matches the Rfam family "tRNA". From Rfam's summary of the family: Transfer RNA (tRNA) molecules are approximately 80 nucleotides in length. Lineage: Eukaryota; Viridiplantae; Chlorophyta; Mamiellophyceae; Monomastigales; Monomastigaceae. The record is from RNAcentral.